Molecule: ribosomal RNA, 578 nt
Filed under: Leifsonia sp. BvIRR082
Lineage: Bacteria; Bacillati; Actinomycetota; Actinomycetes; Micrococcales; Microbacteriaceae
Also listed under: 4 other names
Description: bacterial SSU rRNA
Rfam family: Bacterial small subunit ribosomal RNA
Source: RNAcentral
ACGGGUGAGUAACACGUGAGUAACCUGCCCUUGACUCUGGGAUAACCUCCGGAAACGGAAGCUAAUACCGGAUAUGACGUACGGAGGCAUCUCCUGUGCGUGGAAAGAAUUUCGGUCAAGGAUGGACUCGCGGCCUAUCAGGUAGUUGGUGAGGUAACGGCUCACCAAGCCUACGACGGGUAGCCGGCCUGAGAGGGUGACCGGCCACACUGGGACUGAGACACGGCCCAGACUCCUACGGGAGGCAGCAGUGGGGAAUAUUGCACAAUGGGCGCAAGCCUGAUGCAGCAACGCCGCGUGAGGGACGACGGCCUUCGGGUUGUAAACCUCUUUUAGUAGGGAAGAAGCGAAAGUGACGGUACCUGCAGAAAAAGCACCGGCUAACUACGUGCCAGCAGCCGCGGUAAUACGUAGGGUGCAAGCGUUGUCCGGAAUUAUUGGGCGUAAAGAGCUCGUAGGCGGUUUGUCGCGUCUGCUGUGAAAACCCGAGGCUCAACCUCGGGCCUGCAGUGGGUACGGGCAGACUAGAGUGCGGUAGGGGAGAAUGGAAUUCCUGGUGUAGCGGUGGAAUGCGCAGA